CACGUAGGGGGCGAGCGUUGUCCGGAUUUAUUGGGCGUAAAGAGCUCGUAGGCGGUUCGAUAAGUCGGGUGUGAAAACUCUGGGCUCAACCCAGAGAGGCCACCCGAUACUGCUGUGACUAGAGUGCGGUAGGGGAGCGGGGAAUUCCUGGUGUAGCGGUGAAAUGCGCAGAUAUCAGGAGGAACACCAGCGGCGAAGGCGCCGCUCUGGGCCGUAACUGACGCUGAGGAGCGAAAGCAUGGGUAGCAAACAGG
Molecule: ribosomal RNA, 254 nt
Filed under: uncultured bacterium
Lineage: Bacteria
Description: partial 16S ribosomal RNA
Rfam family: Bacterial small subunit ribosomal RNA
Source: RNAcentral